Molecule: ribosomal RNA, 2981 nt
Filed under: Fulvimarina endophytica
Lineage: Bacteria; Pseudomonadati; Pseudomonadota; Alphaproteobacteria; Hyphomicrobiales; Aurantimonadaceae
Description: bacterial LSU rRNA
Rfam family: Bacterial large subunit ribosomal RNA
Source: RNAcentral
GAUCAAGUGUCUGAAGGGCAUUUGGUGGAUGCCUUGGCAUGCACAGGCGAUGAAGGACGUGAUACGCUGCGAUAAGCGUCGGGGAGCUGCGAAUAAGCUUUGAUCCGGCGAUUUCCGAAUGGGGCAACCCACCUUCGACUACCGUUAAGUUUGAACUGUUGGAGUUCGAUGCAGCCAUUGGCUGGGUCGGGCGGCCUUCGGUGUUUGAUGCGAGGUUCUCUUGCCGCGAUGGUGAGGGUGCCCGCAGCAGAGCCCGACCGGGCUCCGGCCGGUCAGGCCGCGCCCGCGCAGCCGACGCUGAAAGCGUCUGGCGUGAGCGAAAACAACCCACAACAGCUCAAAUUAACGGUAGUCAUUUGAAGGUAUCUUUGACCUGAAUCAAAUAGGGUUAAAGAGGCGAACCCGGGGAACUGAAACAUCUCAGUACCUGGAGGAACGGACAUCAACCGAGACUCCGUCAGUAGCGGCGAGCGAACGCGGACCAGGCCAGUGGCCUUAUUCAAACAAGCUGAACACGUUGGAAAGCGUGGCGAGAUCGGGUGACAGCCCCGUAGGCGUAAUUUUGAAUAGGGUCCUCGAGUAGGGCGGGACACGUGAAAUCCUGUCUGAACAUGGGGGGACCACCCUCCAAGCCUAAGUACUCGUGCAUGACCGAUAGCGAACCAGUACCGUGAGGGAAAGGUGAAAAGCACCCCGACGAGGGGAGUGAAAGAGAACCUGAAACCGAAUGCCUACAAACAGUCGAAGCCCGCAAGGGUGACGGCGUACCUUUUGUAUAAUGGGUCAGCGACUUAGUCUGGCGAGCAAGCUUAAGCCGAUAGGUGUAGGCGCAGCGAAAGCGAGUCUGAACAGGGCGUUCAGUUCGUCGGAUUAGACCCGAAACCAAGUGAUCUAGCCAUGAGCAGGCUGAAGGUGCGGUAACACGCACUGAAGGGCCGAACCCAUAUCUGUUGCAAUAGAUCGGGAUGACUUGUGGCUAGGGGUGAAAGGCCAAUCAAACUUGGAAAUAGCUGGUUCUCCGCGAAAUCUAUUUAGGUAGAGCGUCGGCUGAAUGCUCCAGGGGGUAGAGCACUGGAUGGGCUAUGGGGACUCACCGUCUUACUGAUCCUAACCAAACUCCGAAUACCUGGAAGCACUAUCCGGCAGACAGACGGCGGGUGCUAACGUCCGUCGUCGAGAGGGCAACAACCCUGACCUCCAGCUAAGGUCCCCAAGUCAUGGCUAAGUGGGAAAGGAUGUGAAGUUUCCAAAACAACCAGGAUGUUGGCUUAGAAGCAGCCAUCAUUUAAAGAAAGCGUAACAGCUCACUGGUCUAAACAAGAGACUUUGCGCCGAAAAUGUACCGGGGCUGAAGCCAUGCACCGAAGCUGAGGAUUCAUCUUUUAGGAGAUGAGUGGUAGCGGAGCGUUCCAUAGGCCUGUGAAGGGAUACCCGUGAGGGGUCCUGGAGGUAUUGGAAGUGCGAAUGCUGACAUGAGUAACGAUAAAGGGAGUGAGAGACUCCCUCGCCGAAAAUCCAAGGGUUCCUGCUUAAAGUUAAUCUGAGCAGGGUUAGCCGGCCCCUAAGCCGAGGCCGAAAGGCGUAGGCGAUGGGAACCACGUUUAAUAUUCGUGGGCCUGGUGGGAAGUGACGGAUCGCGUGUGUUGUCUGGUCUUAACGGAUUGAUCAGGCAGCGAAGCGGUUCCAGGAAAGAGCCCCACCGUAUAGACCGUACCCGAAACCGACACAGGUGGAUUGGUAGAGCAUACCCAGGCGCUUGAGAGAACUGUGCUGAAGGAACUCGGCAAAUUGCACGCGUAACUUCGGAAGAAGCGUGACCCUUUUGCACGCAAGUGUUUGAGGGUGGCACAGACCAGGGGGUAGCGACUGUUUAUCAAAAACACAGGGCUCUGCGAAGUCGACAAGACGACGUAUAGGGUCUGACGCCUGCCCGGUGCUGGAAGGUUAAAAGGAGAGGUUCACGCCUUGAAUUGAAGCCCCAGUAAACGGCGGCCGUAACUAUAACGGUCCUAAGGUAGCGAAAUUCCUUGUCGGGUAAGUUCCGACCUGCACGAAUGGCGUAACGACUUCCCCGCUGUCUCCAGCACAGACUCAGUGAAAUUGAAUUCCCCGUGAAGAUGCGGGGUUCCUGCGGUCAGACGGAAAGACCCCGUGCACCUUUACUAUAGCUUUACACUGGCAUUCGUGUCGGCACGUGUAGGAUAGGUGGUAGGCUUUGAAGCGUGGACGCCAGUUUGCGUGGAGCCAUCCUUGAAAUACCACCCUUGCCGUCAUGGAUGUCUAACCGCGGUCCGUUAUCCGGAUCCGGGACAGUGUAUGGUGGGUAGUUUGACUGGGGCGGUCGCCUCCUAAAGAGUAACGGAGGCGCGCGAAGGUGGGCUCAGAGCGGUCGGAAAUCGCUCGUCGAGUGCAAUGGCAUAAGCCUGCCUGACUGCGAGACAGACAAGUCGAGCAGAGACGAAAGUCGGUCAUAGUGAUCCGGUGGUCCCCGAGUGGAAGGGCCAUCGCUCAACGGAUAAAAGGUACGCCGGGGAUAACAGGCUGAUGACCCCCAAGAGUCCAUAUCGACGGGGUUGUUUGGCACCUCGAUGUCGGCUCAUCGCAUCCUGGGGCUGGAGCAGGUCCCAAGGGUUUGGCUGUUCGCCAAUUAAAGCGGUACGUGAGCUGGGUUCAGAACGUCGUGAGACAGUUCGGUCCCUAUCUGCCGUGGGUGUAGGAGUAUUGACAGGAUCUGUCCCUAGUACGAGAGGACCGGGAUGGACGUAUCUCUGGUGGACCUGUUGUGGCGCCAGCCGCAUAGCAGGGUAGCUAUAUACGGUCGGGAUAACCGCUGAAGGCAUCUAAGCGGGAAACCCACCUGAAAACGAGUACUCCCUAUCAGAGCCGUGGUAGACCACCACGUCGAUAGGCCGGAUGUGGAAGCGCGGCAACGCGUGAAGCUGACCGGUACUAAUCGCUCGAUCGACUUGAUCGUUCCCAUU